RNAcentral lists this long non-coding RNA (3459 nucleotides) under Homo sapiens (human). RNAcentral describes it as "HSALNT0390590". The record is from RNAcentral. Lineage: Eukaryota; Metazoa; Chordata; Mammalia; Primates; Hominidae.
CGAGACUCCAUCUCAAAAAAAAAAAAAAAAAAAAGAUUGAAUUUGCAUACUUAAUACAUGUUAAAGCAUUUAUUUGCAUGUAGUUUCUUCUCUCAUUUCAUACUCCAUCUUGAUUUGACAUGCUUUAUAUAUAUACAUAUAUAAUAUAUAUAAGCAUUUAUUUGCAUAUUGUUUUUAAAUUGUAUUUUCAUGAUCACUUUUAUCACUUUUGAUAUUUUUGAGGUGUGUCCAAGGCUUAAAUCGCAUUUGUUUUUGAAGUCUCAACUGGAUUGAGUCUAGGACUGCCAUGUAGCUCAGGGAAUCCGCUUAUGGUCAGGCCUGUGAAACAGCAGGAUGCUCUUUGACUUUGGGCUGAAAGCCUGAGACGGAGGCUUAGCUCCAUUGCUUACAAGCUAUGUGACCUGGGACAAGACUAAGGUUGUCAGCUUUAGCAAACAAAAAUACAGACACCCAGUUACAUUUGAAUUUCAGAUAAACAAUGUAUAUUGUUUAAUGAUUUUGUUUAAUGAUAUAUUGUUUAACGAUAUAUUAAUGAAGAACAAUGAUAUUAAACAAUGACCAGAUAAACAAUGAAUAUAUUUUUUGUGUAAACAUAUCCAAAAUAUUAUAUGGGAAAUACUUAUACUAAAAAAUUAUUUUAUAUGAAAUUAAAAUUUAAUUUAUCUGUGAGAGUUUUCAAGGGAAUCAUAUUUAAUUCUCACAACGCCCCCUGCUGCCCUUUCCCAUUUUUGUCAUGAAAGAGACUGACUCGGAGAGGUUAAGUGACUUAGCCCAAGGUCAUCGAGCUAGAAAAUUAUUGAGCUGGGAUUUGAACUUGGGUGCGUCAACUGUAGCAUGCUCUGCUACUGGAACUCAAGACAGAUAUGUAGCAACCUACUUUUUUUUUUUUUUUUUUUGAGACAGAGUCUCACUCUGAGGCCAGGCUAGAGUGAGGGCAGUGGCACGAUCUCGGCUUACUGCAACUUCUGCCGCCCAGGUUCAAGCGAUUCUCCUGCCUCAGCCUCAUGAGUAGCUAGGAUUACAGGAGCCUGCCACUGCGCCUGGCUAAUUUUUGUAGUUUUAGUAGAGACGGGGUUUCACUAUUUGGCCAGGCUGGUCUUGAACACCUGACCUCGUGAUCCACCCGCCUCAGCCUCCCAAAGUGCUGGGAUUACAGGCGUGAGCCACCGCACCUGGCCUGGCAGUGACCUACUUAAUGAUAGCCUGGGAGCCAUGAGCUAACUUGGUAAGAACAGAAGCUUUCAUGGACUGAGACGGACUUUUGAAUAGGAGUUAGAGAAUUCGAUUUCAAAGUGUUUCUAUGACCCUGUCUGUGUUAGUUUCCUGUUUCUGCCUUAACGAAUGACCACAUAUUUAGUGGCUUAACACAAAUUUAUCUUGCAGCCUCUGGAGGUCAGAAGUCUGAAAUGGUCCAGGUGUCUGCAGAGCUGUGUUCCUUGUGGAGGCUCUAGGAGAGAAUCUGCCUCUUGCCUUUUCCAGCUUCUUAAGGCUUGCGGCAUGUCUUGGAUCGGAGCCACACACUCUGACCUCCGCUUCCAUUAGCACAUUUCCCUCUCUGACGCUGACCCUUCUGCCGCCCUCUUGUAACGACGCUUGUGAUUACAUGGGGCCCACCGGAUAAUCCCGGAUCAUCUCUGAAUCUCAAGAUCCUUAAUCACAUCUGCAAAAUCCUUUUUGCCUUGUAAGGUAACAUAUUUACAGCUUCCGGCGAUUAGGAGGUGGACAUCUGUGGUGGAGAGGUUAUUCUGCCUAUCACACUAAGAGAGAAAUGAUCUAGUUGACUUGAGUGUCCCAGGCCUUAACUAUAAUCCCUUUCAUCUGUAUAGCUUUCACACACAUUCUUUUUUCCACCUUGCAUCCAUCCUGGAAAGUAGAUGAAGGCUGUGCUGAGCCCAUUCUGUGAGGGAGGAAGAUGAAACUCAGAGCGGAGGCCUCGUGCUGGGUGACACAGCUAAAAAGAGACUCAGGCCCAGGGCUUUUGAUUCAGCAUCUGCCCCCUCAGUUCCCAGCCAUGCAUCACUAGAACACUAUUCUCACCGAUGGAGAAGGACAAUUCCUCAGCUACCCCCACAAUUUAGGAAGAAGUCCCCAAGGUGAACCAGCUCCCUCAGCCCUGAAUCUGCCCUCAGAAGGUGGCCUUCUGCCCAGAGCGAGGAUGGAGGGGUGCAGGCAGAGAACCAUUUUUUUGGUGGAGGUCCACGGGACAGAGCCCAGAACUCAAUGUCCAUCCAUCUUGGGCGUGUCCUCCCCAGCAGCCCAGGCUGACUGGACCGGCGCAGGAACUCCUGCAUGCUCAGAGGGAGCCCUGAUUCUUAGAACUGUCUUCUCAUAGCAGUCUUCUUAGGAGUAUGUUGCUGUGGUUUGUGAUUCUGCCCCUGGGUGCUGCUGCAUGGGAGGAGCCAGCUCUCUCCCUGCCCCACAGAUCAUGGAAGGCAGCGACCAUAGGCUCACUGAUGCUCCUGCAGGCUCCCUACACCCAUCCAUUAGGAUGGCCCACAUGUGCCAGCCAGGAAUGGGGGACACAGCCAUGAAGCCGACAGAUAGGCUCCUGCACCUCUGGAACUUGUGCUUUAGCGGGGCAGACAGAUCCCACAGAAGUGUAUGUGUAGGAGUUCUGAGGAUGACAAAAAGGAUGAGGCAAUAGAAGGUGACUGUGACCUUGUGAGACAGGCACUGUCCCCAGUCUAUCACUCUAUUUUUGUUUCUUUGGGUUUUUUUGAAGCAGGGUCUCGUUCUGUCACUCAGGCUGGAGUGCAGUGGUGCAAUCAUAGCUUACUGCAGCCUUGAUCUCCUGGGCUCCAAGCAAGCCCCCUGCUUCAGCCUCCUGAGUAACUAGGACUCCAGACACACACAAACACCACACCCGGCUAAUUUUCAAAAUGUUUAUUUUUAGUACAGACGGGGUCUUACUAUGUGGCCCAGGCUGGUGUCAAGCUCCUGGGCUCAAGUGAUCCUUCUGCUUUGACCUUCCAAAGUGCUGGGAUUGCAUGUGUGAGCCACCAUGCCUAGUUCACUGUCCCCACUCUAAAGCAGACAGCCCAAGUGGGGGCAAAGUUGAGAAGCAAACACACACUGUACUCCAAAGCCUCUGAAAAUCCCUCCUUGUGUCCUUCCUAAGAAGGUCCCAGAGUCUCUGUGUCAUCCCUGAAGCUGAAGUCAGUCCAUUCUGGGAGCAGAGUCCAGCUGUGUCCUGUGUUUGGGGCUAAGAAGAAUGUGAGAUUCCUGCUGAGUGUGAGCUGAGCAAGAGCUUCUGGGACAGCCACGGAGGUGAGCCAUUCCUGUCUCCCUUCAAGAAAGAACUUGCCAUUCACCCUCAAGGAGGGCAGUUAGCUGACAACUUCUAACAAACAUUCUUUGCCCAGAGGACAUGCUGGGUUGGCCAAGACUUUGUUAGAUCUGCAGCACAGUCUGAGGCUCUCCCAGCCCUUUCCUGCUUCCUCUCCCUCACCGGCCUUGCCA